UUGCACUAACAGAGUGCAAAGCACAACCCCAUGCGAGUUAAAAGCAGGGAGACGGCUGGAAGUCACGCACUUUGCCUGCCAACCAGAUCCCUUCUGCUCUCCCUGUUCAGUGAAGGGCAAGGGUGGAUACAGGCAGAAAAUUGUGGCAUUCUGGAAGCUCCUGUGUUAACUGUAUACUUUAGUCUUCUAUUUACGUCCUGGUAACAUUUCUUAUUUUUUUGCCACAGGGCACUUCAAGUGUGCAUCAUGCUCUUAAACGAGGGGUGCAGUCCUCUGGAUACCGAAAUACUCCCUUGUUUCCCGACUGACAGUGAAUUUUGGGGCUGCCUAGAGUCCCAUCAGGAAGCUCCUCCACCCAUACUUCUUACCUGCGUUUCCUCAUGCCCUUUGCCAGUCAGAGUACCCUCGUUUAAGCUGUGGAUGUAAAGAAAUGUAUGUAAAAGGCUGAUUUUUAUUACGUCCCCUGAAGAGUGAAGUUCACCUAGCUCAGUGUGUGCUGUAAUCUAGCAAAGCUGUACCACAGCAUUUGGCAGGACUUCCCUGUACAGAGCAGCAUCCUUCAAGGACAGUUGGGAUAUCACUGAAGUAACUCUCAAAACAACACAACACUGUGCUAUCUCAGAUCUCAGCAGCUGGAGUAAGUGUGACCCACAGAAAUAAUGGCUCCAGAAGUGCCUGACCGCUGCUGAGUGCCACACAACACAGCUGUGUGUAGCUGUUAAUGGCAGCAACCAACAGCAAAGAAAUGAACAACUCUGCUACAGCACAGCCACCCUCCCAUGGUGUGUGACCAGUCUCCUGCAGCACAGCAGAAAACUUCACA
Molecule: long non-coding RNA, 823 nt
Filed under: Gallus gallus (chicken)
Lineage: Eukaryota; Metazoa; Chordata; Aves; Galliformes; Phasianidae
Description: long non-coding RNA NONGGAT012079
Source: RNAcentral